Molecule: long non-coding RNA, 188 nt
Organism: Brassica napus (rape)
Lineage: Eukaryota; Viridiplantae; Streptophyta; Magnoliopsida; Brassicales; Brassicaceae
Exons: 2
Source: RefSeq, a predicted model, not a curated record
ACAAUAUAACGAAACAAAUAUGAUUAUCCCUAUGACGUGGGCUUGUUUAGUAGACUUGGACUUCAUUGUUACAAUCUUGAGAAGGGAACAAGCCUCAAAUUGGCUGCUAUAAACAAAUACAACGAUAAGCUGAGGUUUACUCGGUGCCUCUGUUACCACAUAACGUUGGAGGCCAUUGACACAUCCAA